This 370-nucleotide ribosomal RNA is filed under the name uncultured bacterium. RNAcentral's name for it is "bacterial SSU rRNA". It matches the Rfam family "Bacterial small subunit ribosomal RNA", at positions 136 to 507 of the family's 1533-position model. The record is from RNAcentral.
CCAUCGGAUAACCCGUCGAAAGGCGCUAACACGAUAUGCGGUUCUCAGCAGGCAUCUAACGAGAACGAAAUGUGAAGGAGAAGGAUGGGGAUGCGUCUGAUUAGCUUGUUGGCGGGGUAACGGCCCACCAAGGCGACGAUCAGUAGGGGGUUCUGAGAGGAAGGUCCCCCACAUUGGAACUGAGACACGGUCCAAACUCCUACGGGAGGCAGCAGUGAGGAAUAUUGGUCAAUGGACGAGAGUCUGAACCAGCCAAGUAGCGUGCAGGAUGACGGCCCUAUGGGUUGUAAACUGCUUUUAUAAGGGAAUAAAGUUAGUCUCGUGAGACUUUUUGCAUGUACCUUAUGAAUAAGGACCGGCUAAUUCCGUG